This 200-nucleotide ribosomal RNA is filed under the name uncultured bacterium. RNAcentral's name for it is "partial 16S ribosomal RNA". It matches the Rfam family "Bacterial small subunit ribosomal RNA", at positions 524 to 723 of the family's 1533-position model. The record is from RNAcentral.
UACGAAGGGUGCGAGCGUUAAUCGGAAUUACUGGGCGUAAAGCGUGCGCAGGCGGCUUUGCAAGACAGAUGUGAAAUCCCCGGGCUCAACCUGGGAACUGCAUUUGUGACUGCAAGGCUAGAGUACGGCAGAGGGGGAUGGAAUUCCGCGUGUAGCAGUGAAAUGCGUAGAUAUGCGGAGGAACACCAAUGGCGAAGGCA